UCCGUAGGUGAACCUGCGGAAGGAUCAUUACAGAAAGUAAACGCGGAUCGAACCGCGAACUUCUAAACCUUUGACGAUUGACUCAUGUUGCCUCGGCGGGUUCUCCCGCCAGAGGAUACAUCAAAACUCCUGUUUUAACGGUGUUGUCUGAGCUACAAGCAACGAAUCAAAACUUUCAACAACGGAUCUCUUGGUUCUGGCAUCGAUGAAGAACGCAGCGAAAUGCGAUAAGUAGUGUGAAUUGCAGAAUUCAGUGAAUCAUCGAAUCUUUGAACGCACAUUGCGCCCCUUGGUAUCCCGAGGGGCAUGCCUGUUCGAGCGUCAUUUCACCACUCAAGCCUGGCUUGGUGUUGGGCGACGUCCCCUUUGGGGACGCGCCUCGAAACGCUCGGCGGCGUGGCACCGGCUUUAAGCGUAGCAGAAUCUUUCGCUUUAAAAGUCGGGGCCCCGUCUGCCGGAAGACCUACUCGCAAGGUUGACCUCGGAUCAGGCAGGGAUACCCGCUGAACUUAAGCAUAUCAAUAAGCGGAGGAAAAGAAACCAACC
This 546-nucleotide ribosomal RNA is filed under the name uncultured Cenococcum. Its description in RNAcentral is "eukaryotic LSU rRNA". The stretch from base 171 to 324 matches the Rfam family "5.8S ribosomal RNA". Lineage: Eukaryota; Fungi; Ascomycota; Dothideomycetes; Gloniales; Gloniaceae. The record is from RNAcentral.